CCUACGGGAGGCAGCAGUGAGGAAUAUUGGUCAAUGGCCGUAAGGCUGAACCAGCCAAGUCGCGUGAAGGAAGAAGGAUCUAUGGUUUGUAAACUUCUUUUAUAGGGGAAUAAAGGUAUCCACGUGUGGAUAUUUGCAUGUACCCUACGAAUAAGCAUCGGCUAACUCCGUGCCAGCAGCCGCGGUAAUACGGAGGAUGCGAGCGUUAUCCGGAUUUAGUGGGUUUAAAGGGUGCGUAGGUUGUUUUUUAAGUCAGCGGUGAAAGUUUGUGGCUCAACCAUAAAAUUGCCGUUGAAACUGGAAGACUUGAGUGUGUUAGAGGUAGGCAGAAUGCGUGGUGUAGCGGUGAAAUGCAUAGAGAUCACGCAGAACUCCGAUUGCGAAGGCAGCUUACUAAGCCAUGACUGACACUGAAGCACGAAAGCGUGGGGAUCAAACAGGAUUAGAUACCCGGGUAGUC
RNAcentral lists this ribosomal RNA (460 nucleotides) under uncultured bacterium. RNAcentral's name for it is "partial 16S ribosomal RNA". It matches the Rfam family "Bacterial small subunit ribosomal RNA", at positions 338 to 795 of the family's 1533-position model. The record is from RNAcentral.